This 345-nucleotide unclassified non-coding RNA is filed under the name soil metagenome. RNAcentral's name for it is "partial contains 5.8S ribosomal RNA, internal transcribed spacer 2, and large subunit ribosomal RNA". The stretch from base 1 to 120 matches the Rfam family "5.8S ribosomal RNA", at positions 35 to 154 of the family's 154-position model. The record is from RNAcentral.
GAUGAAGAACGUAGCGAAAUGCGAUAAGUAAUGUGAAUUGCAGAAUUCAGUGAAUCAUCGAGUCUUUGAACGCACAUUGCGCCCCCUGGUAUUCCGGGGGGCAUGCCUGUCCGAGCGUCAUUGCUGCCCUCAAGCACGGCUUGUGUGUUGGGCCCCGUCCUCCGAUCCCGGGGGACGGGCCCGAAAGGCAGCGGCGGCACCGCGUCCGGUCCUCGAGCGUAUGGGGCUUUGUCACCCGCUCUGUAGGCCCGGCCGGCGCUUGCCGAUCAACCCAAAUUUUUAUCCAGGUUGACCUCGGAUCAGGUAGGGAUACCCGCUGAACUUAAGCAUAUCAAUAGCGGAAGA